GACGAACGCUGGCGGCGUGCUUAACACAUGCAAGUCGAACGAUGAAGAAGAGAAACGCGAACUUCGGUUCAAAUUUCACUUCGGAUUAAUGGCAGACGGGUGAGUAACGCGUGAGCAACCUACCUCUUACAAAGGGAUAGCCUCGGGAAACCGUGAUUAAUACCAUAUGACACAUUCAUAAGGCAUCUUAAGAAUGUUAAAGCUACGGCGGUAAGAGAUGGGCUCGCGUCCCAUUAGCUAGUUGGUGAGGUAACGGCCCACCAAGGCGACGAUGGGUAACCGGCCUGAGAGGGUGAACGGUCACAUUGGAACUGAGACACGGUCCAAACUCCUACGGGAGGCAGCAGUGGGGAAUAUUGCACAAUGGAGGGAACUCUGAUGCAGCGACGCCGCGUGAGCGAUGAAGGAAUUCGUUUCGUAAAGCUCUGUUCUAUGGGAAGAAAAGGACUGUACCAUAGGAGAAAGCCCCGGCUAAAUACGUG
Molecule: ribosomal RNA, 482 nt
Filed under: uncultured bacterium
Lineage: Bacteria
Description: partial 16S ribosomal RNA
Rfam family: Bacterial small subunit ribosomal RNA
Source: RNAcentral